This 87-nucleotide transfer RNA is filed under the name Chloroflexota bacterium. Its description in RNAcentral is "Chloroflexi bacterium tRNA-Leu". It matches the Rfam family "tRNA". From Rfam's summary of the family: Transfer RNA (tRNA) molecules are approximately 80 nucleotides in length. Their secondary structure includes four short double-helical elements and three loops (D, anti-codon, and T loops). Further hydrogen bonds mediate the characteristic L-shaped molecular structure. tRNAs have two regions of fundamental functional importance: the anti-codon, which is responsible for specific mRNA codon recognition, and the 3' end, to which the tRNAs corresponding amino acid is attached (by aminoacyl-tRNA synthetases). tRNAs cope with the degeneracy of the genetic code in two manners: having more than one tRNA (with a specific anti-codon) for a particular amino acid; and 'wobble' base-pairing, i.e. permitting non-standard base-pairing at the 3rd anti-codon position. The record is from RNAcentral. Lineage: Bacteria; Bacillati; Chloroflexota.
GCCGGAGUGGUGAAACUGGCAACCACGCACGCCUCAAGAGCGUGUGGGCGAAAGUCCUUGAGGGUUCGAGUCCCUCCUCCGGCACCG